Molecule: ribosomal RNA, 432 nt
Filed under: uncultured bacterium
Lineage: Bacteria
Description: partial 16S ribosomal RNA
Rfam family: Bacterial small subunit ribosomal RNA
Source: RNAcentral
AACGAACGCUGGCGGCAUGCCUAACACAUGCAAGUCGAACGAGACCUUCGGGUCUAGUGGCGCACGGGUGCGUAACGCGUGGGAACCUGCCCUUAGGUUCGGAAUAACUCCCCGAAAGGGGUGCUAAUACCGGAUAAUGUCUUCGGACCACAGAUUUAUCGCCUUUGGAUGGGCCCGCGUUGGAUUGCUAGUUGGUAGGGUAAAAGCCUACCAAGGCGACGAUCCAUAGCUGGUCUGAGAGGAAGAGCAGCCACACUGGGACUGAGACACGGCCCAGACUCCUACGGGAGGCAGCAGUGGGGAAUAUUGGACAGUGGGCGAAAGCCUGAUCCAGCAAUGCCGCGUGAGUGAUGAAGUCCUUAGGGUUGUAAAGCUCUUUUACCCGGGAUGAUAAUGACGGUACCGGGAGAAUAAGCACCGGCUAACUCCGUG